AAAGAGGUUGGAGUCCAUUUAAAACGAGGAGGAGGAGGAUGACUGGGAAGCAUGGAGGAGGAAGAUCAAGGGGUAGGAGAGAAAUGGUGGGUGGACAUGGAGGAGGAGAGAAGGAGGAUGGAGAACGUGGGAGGAGGAGGAUCAAGGAGUGAUGAGAGAGGAUGGGGAGGGCGGCCCAGGAGGUGGACGAGAUGGACGGAGGAUCAAGGAGUGAUGAGAGAGGAUGGGGAGGGCGGCCCAGGAGGUGGACGAGAUGGACGGAGGUGGCGGAUGAGACGGCGCCGAAGGAGAACCAGGAGAAAGAGGAUGUGAAGCUGGAGGAAGCAGACGGGAAGGCUGGAGGACAUGAAGGAGGGUGGGGAAGGAUGGAGGAGAACGGAGCAGGGGGCGCGUGUUGGAGAAGGAGAGGGAGAGGAGGAGGGCAGAUGAGAAAGGGCAGGCGGAGGAGGGUGGAGGAGGAUGCAGGGGCAGGGUGAAG
This 478-nucleotide long non-coding RNA is filed under the name Equus asinus (donkey). RNAcentral's name for it is "lncRNA (ENSEASG00005034548.1)". Lineage: Eukaryota; Metazoa; Chordata; Mammalia; Perissodactyla; Equidae. The record is from RNAcentral.